RNAcentral lists this ribosomal RNA (207 nucleotides) under uncultured bacterium. Its description in RNAcentral is "partial 16S ribosomal RNA". It matches the Rfam family "Bacterial small subunit ribosomal RNA", at positions 568 to 774 of the family's 1533-position model. The record is from RNAcentral.
UGCGUAGGCGGUGGGGUAAGUUUGAGGUGAAAGCUCCGGGCUCAAUCCGGAAAAUGCCUUGAAACUAUCCGGCUAGAGGGUUGGAGGGGAGGACUGGAAUUCUCGGUGUAGCAGUGAAAUGCGUAGAUCUCGAGAGGAACACCAGUGGCGAAGGCGGGUCUCUGGACAACACCUGACGCUGAGGCACGAAAGCCAGGGGAGCAAACG